This 508-nucleotide ribosomal RNA is filed under the name Nakaseomyces glabratus. RNAcentral's name for it is "LSU rRNA". It matches the Rfam family "Eukaryotic large subunit ribosomal RNA", at positions 61 to 571 of the family's 3401-position model. The record is from RNAcentral. Lineage: Eukaryota; Fungi; Ascomycota; Saccharomycetes; Saccharomycetales; Saccharomycetaceae.
GAAACCAACUGGGAUUGCCUUAGUAACGGCGAGUGAAGCGGCAAAAGCUCAAAUUUGAAAUCUGGUACCUUUGGUGCCCGAGUUGUAAUUUGGAGAGUACCACUUUGGGACUGUACUUUGCCUAUGUUCCUUGGAACAGGACGUCAUGGAGGGUGAGAAUCCCGUGUGGCGAGGGUGUCAGUUCUUUGUAAAGGGUGCUCGAAGAGUCGAGUUGUUUGGGAAUGCAGCUCUAAGUGGGUGGUAAAUUCCAUCUAAAGCUAAAUACAGGCGAGAGACCGAUAGCGAACAAGUACAGUGAUGGAAAGAUGAAAAGAACUUUGAAAAGAGAGUGAAAAAGUACGUGAAAUUGUUGAAAGGGAAGGGCAUUUGAUCAGACAUGGUGUUUUGCGCCCCUUGCCUCUCGUGGGCUUGGGACUCUCGCAGCUCACUGGGCCAGCAUCGGUUUUGGCGGCCGGAAAAAACCUAGGGAAUGUGGCUCUGCGCCUCGGUGUAGAGUGUUAUAGCCCUG